RNAcentral lists this ribosomal RNA (498 nucleotides) under uncultured soil bacterium. RNAcentral describes it as "bacterial SSU rRNA". It matches the Rfam family "Bacterial small subunit ribosomal RNA", at positions 26 to 519 of the family's 1533-position model. The record is from RNAcentral.
AGAUUGAACGCUGGCGGCAUGCCUUACACAUGCAAGUCGAACGGUAGAGUAGCAAUACUUGAGAGUGGCGAACGGGUGAGUAAUAUAUCGGAACGUGCCCAGUCGUGGGGGGAUAACGUAGAGAAAUUUACGCUAAUACCGCAUACGAUCUACGGAUGAAAGCGAGGGGAUCGCAAGACCUUGCGCGAAUGGAGCGGCCGAUGGCAGAUUAGGUAGUUGGUGAGGUAAAGGCUCACCAAGCCUUCGAUCUGUAGCUGGUCUGAGAGGACGACCAGCCACACUGGGACUGAGACACGGCCCAGACUCCUACAGGAGGCAGCAGUGGGAAUUUUGGACAAUGGGCGAAAGCCUGAUCCAGCCAUGCCGCGUGCAGGACGAAGGCCUUCGGGUUGUAAACGUGUCUUUUGUACGGAACGAAAGUCUACUUUACUAAUAAAGAGGGAAUCAUGACGUACCGUAAGAAUAAGCACCGGCUAACGUACGUGACCAGCAGCCGUA